UAGGGAAUCUUCGACAAUGGACGAAAGUCUGACCGAGCAACGCCGCGUGAGUGAAGAAGGUUUUCGGAUCGUAAAACUCUGUUGGUAGAGAAGAACGUUGGUGAGAGUGGAAAGCUCAUCAAGUGACGGUAACUACCCAGAAAGGGACGGCUAACUACGUGCCAC
Molecule: ribosomal RNA, 165 nt
Filed under: uncultured bacterium
Lineage: Bacteria
Description: partial 16S rRNA
Rfam family: Bacterial small subunit ribosomal RNA
Source: RNAcentral